CCCUUAGACGUUCUGGGCCGCACGCGCGCUACACUGACGAAGGCAACGAGCUUUCCUUUACCGAAAGGUACGGGUAAUCUUUUGAAACUUCGUCGUGCUGGGGAUAGAUCCUUGCAAUUUUUGAUCUUAAACGAGGAAUUCCUAGUAAGCGCAAGUCAUCAACUUGCGUUGAUUACGUCCCUGCCCUUUGUACACACCGCCCGUCGCUACUACCGAUUGAAUGGUUUAGUGAGAUCUCUGGAUUGACGCUGGCUAGGGGGCGACCCUUGGCCAGACUGUUGAGAAACUGCUCAAACUUGAUCAUUUAGAGGAAGUAAAAGUCGUAACA
This 328-nucleotide ribosomal RNA is filed under the name uncultured eukaryote. RNAcentral describes it as "partial 18S ribosomal RNA". It matches the Rfam family "Eukaryotic small subunit ribosomal RNA", at positions 1470 to 1796 of the family's 1831-position model. The record is from RNAcentral.